UCCUCUGGAUUGUAAACUUCUUUUCUCUGGGGCGAAAAAAGGAUAUUCUUAUCCUCCUGACAGUACCAGAGGAAUAAGCACCGGCUAACUCCGUGC
RNAcentral lists this ribosomal RNA (96 nucleotides) under uncultured bacterium. Its description in RNAcentral is "partial 16S ribosomal RNA". The record is from RNAcentral.